RNAcentral lists this long non-coding RNA (369 nucleotides) under Danio rerio (zebrafish). Its description in RNAcentral is "lncRNA si:dkey-158n23.2 (ENSDARG00000103549.2)". The record is from RNAcentral. Lineage: Eukaryota; Metazoa; Chordata; Actinopteri; Cypriniformes; Danionidae.
UGCACUUUCCAUGACUGACUGCCUAAAUUACGAUAAAUGUAUAGGGAAAAUGAAUGCCAGCGCUCGUAAUAAGAGUGUGAGAUCACAGGAAUGAGCAUUAAUCAGAGACAUGCGGCGUUUGUCACCCACUGAUCAUUAAUCAAGAAGGAAAAACAGAAAGCAGCGCUGUUUUAACGCAGGUGUGUGCUGACUCCACGUCCCAUCACGUGCUCAGUGCUGGCAGCGCCCCGGCGAGCCGUCACGAUAUGCCCCGUAGGCAGAUGGCAUUACGACUGCCAGCCCGCGCAUCUUCAAUUCCCCGCGCAGGGAUUUGCUGGUCUAUAGCAGGCAGCCUGGCCUGACACUUUCUAAAGAUAAAGAUGCUGAAAC